UCUUAUGCCGGGUUUGAAAUGCAG
RNAcentral lists this non-coding RNA (24 nucleotides) under Cricetulus griseus (Chinese hamster). Lineage: Eukaryota; Metazoa; Chordata; Mammalia; Rodentia; Cricetidae. The record is from RNAcentral.